UUAGUGAUCCCCCUGUUGUUGCACCUGCACUAGAAAACUCUAACGUAUUAUCUGAAGGCCAAAUUAAUGACUCUAUCCUGAGAAUUGAGAGGAAACGCAAGGUGAAGAAGCGAGAAUCGCUAAAGAAGUUGAAGCUCAUGAGUUGCGGAUCCGCAAGGAGCUGGAGAAACAAGAAAUUAUGAGGAGAAAGACAAAAUGGACAGACAGUGGAUACAUAAUCAUAAUAGAUGUGAUGUUGAGUACUUGGAUGGAAUAGAAGAGUUCACUAAAUUCGC
This is a long non-coding RNA of Pyrus x bretschneideri (Chinese white pear), 275 nucleotides long. RefSeq lists it as uncharacterized. The transcript is spliced from 3 exons. The record is from RefSeq and is a predicted model, not a curated record. Lineage: Eukaryota; Viridiplantae; Streptophyta; Magnoliopsida; Rosales; Rosaceae.